AGGAAGACACUGUAGAUGACCAGGGUUAGUCAUCUUAAGAAAAUGUUGUAUAAAGUAGGGGACAAGCUGGAAGGUCAAGGAGAAACUCGGUCCCAAAAGGACAAACUGGAUGUCAUGAAGACAAACUGGAACCUGCAUCUGUGAUUCCCUGCAUGCAAUCCCAGUGAAGUGGACAAUGCAUGGGAGGGGCUGGAGCUUUCACCAUGAGGCUAUAGGCCCAUCUGGACCAAAUCUUGGAGAAGCUGAAGAAGGAGACGGGCCAAAUCUGCAGCCUAGGCAUCAAAUUGGAACUGCAGCUGCCGACUGACACCACAGCCACAACAGUGCAGGAUCUGAGUUGCAUUUGCGAUCUAUACUACAGCUCAUAGCAAUGCUGGAUCCUUAACUCACUGAGCAAGGCCAGGGAUUGAACCCAUAUCCUCAUAGAUACAGGUAUUGAAAAGAUACACCAAAAUGUUGAUCUUACCCAAGUGCAAAAUGCAGAAUCAGAAUUGGUGUUCUCUGGAAAAAGACAAAAGUCAAGCCUUGGUAUAAAUUUGGAAAAACACUUCUUUUUUCUUAAUGGAAGCUAUGGCAGAACCCAGGAAUCAUACACUCAAGGCUGUGGAGAGCACCUUGUGUAUUCCCGUGAGGUUGACUUUCCUUUGGGUGUAGCCAUCAGGCGGUGCAGGCAGGAGACCCGAGGAUGGAAGGACACGAAGGUCUCCCUGUGCCUCUCGCUACUCUGCCAGGCUCGCCAUUGGCGGCGAUGAUUCCUCCGCUGAGGCUCGUGAUGCUUCUCAGGAAGCCCGCUGAAACAGACGGUCUUAGAAACUGCAUCCUGUACCGUCCCCUUCAAGUCAAGUGAUUACCGUCUCCUCUUUUCCAACAGUAGGUUUUGCCUCAUAGUAUCCAAAGUCCUGAUAGAGAAUAGCUACAUUUAGGGGGAUCUUACCUGAUGCCGGGGCACUCCCCUAAGGGAUUUUUUUUUUUCUUUCAACACUCACUGAAUUCCUACCAUAACCCUGCUUGUGGUAAACUAAGGCUUCAUGAAGUUCAUUGUCUCACAUUGUGAAUGGAACUGGCUUCUGGUAAGAGCACAGACUCUAGAAUCUGACUGCCUGGCUCUAAACGCUGCCCCUUCCACCUGUGAGCUCAUGGUCCUGAGCACAUUUCUAUUGGUCAGUCUCCUCACCUAUAAAAGGGAUAAAAAUAGUACUUCAGAAGGUAGUUGUGAAGAUGAAAUGUGCUAAUAUAUGUAACACACUUGGAGAAUAUGGCUUAUAGGAGAUGCCUGUGUGUGUUUGCUAUCAAUAUAAAUCCAAAGCCCAUCCAUUUACUGCAUUAUACUCACCUCCUAUCAGAAAGCAUACACAUUUUCUUUAGAGUGGAAGAUCCCUGCCCAUCACUUUUAAAUAACCUGUAUGGUGUUCUCUAUUUUAUGCAGUGGAUUGGCUCUCAUUUAAACACAAUGCUUUUAUGUUUAAAAAGCAAAACAGGAUACUCUGUUAUUUUUUCAUUGCCAGAAAGGCAAGUAUAGAUAGUAUCACAGAAAAAGUUGUAGAAGCUCCCCUGUUGGUGUACUGAACGAAUUAUAGGAACACAGAUAAUCUUAAAGACGGAAGGCCUCUGACCAUCUCAUUUACAUACAGAGAAACUUGGAAAUUUGGCUACAGUCUCACUGUUGUUCUAUUAUAAGAAAAAAAGGGGUUCUUUGUGGACAUUAGCGUGUUUAGGAUAUAGAUAAAAAUCUGCCUUGGAUGACAAGGAGAGUGAAGCUCAAAUUUGAAGCCUCUUACCAGACCUGAGUACAUAAUUGAAGAAACAGUCAUAGACUCUGUGUUCUUUAAAGGCAAAGGAAGCCAGCAAGCUGAAGAAAGCAUGUGAAGAACUGGGUCAAGCAGUUUCAGAUACAGAGAACCAUGGAGAAAUGUUCUGCCCACCACCUUCAGCUCUCCUUAUCUCUACUGUCACACCAAAAUAACCCUGUGAUAUGUAACAGACAAUACUGAUACAGGAACCUAAAUUCCAUAUCUUGCCCUCUUAAUCCAAGAUAGCAAAACAUAACUAUCUAAACCAAUUAAGAAAGAGUCUUGGAGUUCCCAUAGUGGCUCAGUGGUUAACGAACACGAUGAGUAUCCAGGAGGAUGCAGGUUUGAUCCUGGGUUUGCUCAGUGGGUUAAGGAUCCAGCAUUGCCAUGAACUGUGGCGUAGGUCGCAGACUCAGCUCAGAUCCAGCAUUGCUGUAGCUGUGAUAUAGGCCAGCAGCUACAGCUCUGAUUUGAUCCCUAGCGUGGGAACCUCCAUAUGCCGCAGGUAUGGCCCUAAAAAGACAAAAAAGAAAAAAGAAAAGAGUCUUAAAAUUCAUCGUUAUUGUCUUAAAACUAUGGUUAACUAGAUAAACUCCACAUUGUUCUUUAUUGUGUAUUAUGUAAACUGGUCUUCAGAACCAUUUCUGAACAAGUAGUUAAAUGAAGAAAAUCUGCUAGUGUUUUACUACUUUAUGUCUCUUAAAAUGCAAGUGUUCUUAGCAAAUAGAUAGCCGUCAUAGUGAUUAUCGAUCAUUUUUACCUUUAUUCCCACUUUGCUUAUUUAAACAUUCAUCCAGGCAAUUAUUCACUUGACACUCAGUGUGUCUGGCGCUUGCUAAGCAUCAAGUAUGCAAAGGCAGUUACGUAAGACUUGGUAGCUGUCUGCAAAAUGCCUACCAGCUGCAGACCUAGAGAUUAUUAUACUAAGUGAAGUAAGUUACUCAUAUGCAAAAUCUAAAAUAUGACAUAGAUGAACUUAUUUACAAAACAGAAACAGACUCACAGACAUAGAAAACAAACUUAAUGGUUAACAAAGAGGGAAGAGGGGGAGGGAUAAAUUAAGAGAUGGAGAUUCACAUAUAUACUCCUAUAUAUAAAAUAGAUAAUCAGCAAGAACCUACUGUAUAGCACAGGGAACUAUAGUCAAUAUCCUAUAAUAAACCAUCAUGGAAAAGAAAAAGAUAGUCACAGGCUAAAAAGGGGAACAAUUCCAAAACAAUAAGCAUGCUAAUAACUUAGGUGUGCCAGGACUGAAACGUCAUGGUCGGAAUGAGCAGGGCCAUAGAUAUAGAAACAUACAACUUCCCCUCAUGGUAAAGGCAAAGGCCUGGAGAGUUGACAAGUCACAGAGUAAACCUCAGGUAGGGAAGGCUGAAUGGGAGCAGAGUUCGACCGCAUGAAUUUGGAGUGCCAGCAUGACAUCUUGAUGGCAAUGUCAGGUCAGCUGCUGGACACAAGGGUUUAGAAUUCAGAAGGGAAUUCCAGCCUGGAUACUGGGGAGUUAAAAGCACCCAGGGAGGUCCUCAAACCAGGGGUGUGGAGAGAUUCUUCAGGGAGAGCUCUUCCUCAAGAGAACAUGGGGAGACAUCACCCAUGAGAGCCAAGACCAUAAAAAUGUGUCUGUGUUGCCAGAACACCAUUAAAAUCCUUUCCUAAGAGCUAAUUUUGAAAGAGAAUAUGCAAUGGAAUACUACUCAGGCAUAAAAAAGAACAAAGCAAGGCCAUUUGCAGCAAAAAUGGAUGGCACUAAAGACUCUCAUACAAAGUGCAGUAAGUCAGAAAGAGAAAGAAAAAUACCGUAUGAUAUCACUUAUAGCUGGAAUCUAGUAUAUGGCCCAAAUAAAACUUUCCACAGAAAAGAAACUCAUGGACUUGGAGAACAGACUUGCGGUUGCCAAGGGGGAGGGGGAUGGACUGGGAAUCUGGGGUUAAUAGAUGCAAACUACUGCAUUUGGAAUGGAUAAGCAAUGAAAUCCUGCUGUAUAGCGCUGGGAACUGUAUCUAGUCACUUGUGAUGGAACAUGAUGGAGGAUAAUGUGAGAAAAAGACUGUAUACGUGUACGUGUGACAGGGUCACUUUUCUGUAGUAGAAAAUUGAGAGAACACUGUAUUCCAACUAUAAUGAAAAAAAUAAAAAUCAUUU
RNAcentral lists this long non-coding RNA (3933 nucleotides) under Sus scrofa (pig). Its description in RNAcentral is "lncRNA (ENSSSCG00000049142.2)". The record is from RNAcentral. Lineage: Eukaryota; Metazoa; Chordata; Mammalia; Artiodactyla; Suidae.